This is a long non-coding RNA of Zophobas morio, 845 nucleotides long. RefSeq lists it as uncharacterized. The transcript is spliced from 3 exons. NCBI's taxonomy places the organism in Eukaryota, Metazoa, Arthropoda, Insecta, Coleoptera, Tenebrionidae. The record is from RefSeq and is a predicted model, not a curated record.
CUUAAAUUUAGUAAAUUUACGUAAGUUAGCAGCAUUGUGCAUAAAAUAAGUAAACUUGUGUCACUAUUUGUAUUUUCACAAGUCAAAUUGAAAAAACACAAUACAGAAUCGCAAUUGUAAAUGUAUAUUCACUUUAUAAAUGAAUUAUACUUUAUAAUACCGUAAAUAUACUAACAUUUUUUACAAUUACUUCCAACUUUGUAAAAUAAUCCAGUCUACCGGUGAAAUCACAUGCAUACUGUGAAUUGUUGAUGCGCACGCAAUCAUUACUAUAACGCUUGCAGGUUAUAACAAGUUGGAGUGCAUUAGUUGUGGUAAUAUAUUUUGUACAAAAUAGUGUAUUUUGUUGUUAAAGGCGGAUAAUUACUUACUAUAAUUUGCCCAUGUCAUCUUUAAUUGUUAUGUUAAUGCAAUUUUUAUCACAGGGUGAUGAUAUGAAUAAUUUAAAUGAAAUUAUCAAGGUGGCUGCGCCAUGUGCAAUUGAAAUAGAGAGCGAUCCACAAACAAUUUUUCACGUAGUUUUAGAACGACAAGUAGUGAUUCCAAGUGUUGUCACUUUAAAAGAUGCAGUAUCUUGGGCGUUUGGAUUUUAUUUUAUAAUGAAUUUAGAAUAUCCAGACGAAGUAUCAGCAGUUUUGGAAAUGAUGCAAAGAUUUUUUUUGAAAAUACAUCCAGAUCAAGGAUCCAAAUCAAAAAGAAUAACACCAACAAAACGCAAAGUAAUUGGCCUUAUGAACAAAUUAAAUUAAUGUAAAGUAUAUACAACAUCAAUGACUUUGUUUUGUGUUUAUGAUUUUAUUACAUGUUUAUUAUGUUUUUCACCAUAAAAUAAAAGGUUCACUUUG